GACGAACGCUGGCGGCGCGCUUAACACAUGCAAGUCGAGCGAAGCGGCGGACGGGUGAGUAACACGUGAGUAACCUGCCUUAGACAUUGGGAUAGCCUCGGGAAACCGGGAUUAAUACCAAAUGGUCUCAGAUGGACUCGGGUCCCAUUAGAGCGGUGGGAGGUAACGGCCCACCAAGGCGACGAUGGGUAGCCGGCCUGAGAGGGGGAACGGCAACAUUGGAACGUAGACACGGUCCAAACUCUACGGGAGGCAGCAGUGGGGAAUAUGUGACAAUGGAGGUAAUUUUGAUGCAGCGACGCCGCGUGAACGAAGAAGGCUUUCGAGUCGUAAAGUUCUUUUAUAUGGGAAGCGGUACCAUAAGAAAAAGCCCCGGCUAACUCCGUGCCAGCAGCCGCGGUAAUAC
RNAcentral lists this ribosomal RNA (406 nucleotides) under uncultured bacterium. RNAcentral's name for it is "partial 16S ribosomal RNA". It matches the Rfam family "Bacterial small subunit ribosomal RNA", at positions 28 to 526 of the family's 1533-position model. The record is from RNAcentral.